Molecule: ribosomal RNA, 1026 nt
Filed under: Clostridioides difficile
Lineage: Bacteria; Bacillati; Bacillota; Clostridia; Peptostreptococcales; Peptostreptococcaceae
Description: partial 23S ribosomal RNA
Rfam family: Bacterial large subunit ribosomal RNA
Source: RNAcentral
CAGAGUACCACGGGACACGUGAAACCCUGUGGGAAGCAGGAGGGACCACCCUCCAAGGCUAAAUACUACCUAGUGACCGAUAGCGUAUAGUACCGUGAGGGAAAGGUGAAAAGAACCCCGGGAGGGGAGUGAAAUAGAACCUGAAACCCUGCACUUACAAGCUGUGGAAGCACAUUUCUUGUGUGACCGCGUACUUUUUGUAGAACGGGCCAACGAGUUACGUUAAGUAGCAAGGUUAAGCACUUAAGGUGCGGAGCCGUAGCGAAAGCGAGUUUUAACUGAGCGUUCAGUUACUUGACGUAGACCCGAAACCGGGCGACCUACCCAUGAGCAGGAUGAAGCGAAAGUAAAAUUUCGUGGAGGUCCGAACCCACGAGCGUUGAAAAGCUCGGGGAUGACUUGUGGGUAGCGGUGAAAUUCCAAUCGAGCCCGGAGAUAGCUGGUUCUCCCCGAAAUAGCUUUAGGGCUAGCCUCAAGGUGAGAGAUACGGAGGUAGAGCACUGAAUGUCCUAGGGGGUAUUGCACCUACCGAAGACUAUCAAACUCCGAAUGCCGUCAUCUUAUACUUGGGAGUCAGACUGUGGGUGAUAAGAUUCAUAGUCGAAAGGGCAACAGCCCAGAUCGUCAGCUAAGGUCCCUAAAUGUAAGUUAAGUGGUAAAGGAUGUGGGAUUGCACAGACAACCAGGAUGUUGGCUUAGAAGCAGCCACUCAUUCAAAGAGUGCGUAAUAGCUCACUGGUCGAGUGAUCCUGCGCCGAAGAUUUCCGGGGCUAAAACUUACUACCGAAGCUACGGCAUCAGUAAUGAUGGGUAGGGGAGCUUCCCAUACGGGUUGAAGCAUGACCGUAAGGACAUGUGGACAGUAUGGGAGUGAGAAUGUUGGCAUGAGUAGCGAGAUGUGGGUGAGAAUCCCACAGGCCGUAAACCCAAGGUUUCCAGGGGAAGGUUCGUCCGCCCUGGGUUAGUCGGGACCUAAGCUGAGGCCGAAAGGCGUAGGUGAUGGACAACAGGUUGAUAUUCCUGUAC